This 254-nucleotide ribosomal RNA is filed under the name uncultured bacterium. RNAcentral's name for it is "partial 16S ribosomal RNA". It matches the Rfam family "Bacterial small subunit ribosomal RNA", at positions 524 to 776 of the family's 1533-position model. The record is from RNAcentral.
UACGGUAGGGGGCAAGCGUUGUCCGGAUUCAUUGGGCGUAAAGAGCGUGUAGGCGGCCAGGUAGGUCGGUUGUGAAAACUGGAGGCUCAACCUUCAGAGGUCGACCGAAACCAUCUGGCUAGAGUCCGGGAGAGGAGAGUGGAAUUCCUGGUGUAGCGGUGAAAUGCGCAGAUAUCAGGAAGAACACCCGUGGCGAAAGCGGCUCUCUGGAACGGUACUGACGCUGAGACGCGAAAGCGUGGGGAGCGAACAGG